UGUCCUUCCUCGCACUCUUCUUUCUAGAAUUUUCUUUCACUAUUACUUUGUUAAUCAUUCACCAUUUGCUAAUGAUUUCUAGCUGUAAUUGUAUACCAUUAGUAGCAGAACUCUCUCACAAUCUUUUUCAUACCCUUCAUAUCUUCUUUUACGAAUUUUGUUUUUUCUUAUCUCUAAUCAGACUUUGAACACAAUUUUGUAAUUCACAAUUUGGGACAAACUUGUAUGUUGCUUUUUGUUGAAUGAAUUCUUGGAGCAGCAAUCGUCUACCGGGAUAGAGUAUUCUCGGAUCUUUCGAACUGUUGAACAUGAAUAUUGAGGUAUAUCCUUUCAAUUGUUAUUUUUGAAGGGUUUAUAUGUUAUUUUUUCCUUUUUAAUAUGUCAUAAUCAAUCCUCUGAAGGUCGAUUCUCUGCUAAUUUUGAGGUAUAACCCCCUUGAAAUGUUGUAAUAUUUUAAAGUUUAAAACAGGUGAAAUUUAAAAAAAAGUACGACCCAGUACAAUACCACUCAGUGGUGUCUGGGUACGGUAGUGUGUACGCAGCCUUACCCCUACCCUGGGGUAGAGAGGCUGUUUCCAAAUAGACCCCCNNNNNNNNNNNNNNNNNNNNNNNNNNNNNNNNNNNNNNNNNNNNNNNNNNNNNNNNNNNNNNNNNNNNNNNNNNNNNNNNNNNNNNNGCAUAAAUCCCCAGAAUUUGCUCCUGGGGAGACUCGAACUCACAACCUCUCGGUUGUAAGUGAGGGUUGGUUACCAUCAGACCAAGCCCCUCUUGUCAAAGAGAAACAGGUGAAAUUUACUAAUUGUUAAUUUAAAAUUUUGAUGUAUAACCCCUUUUAGAAUUUGAUUUGCAUUGCCGGACUGCAUUCCACAUUGACUCCUCCUCAAUGCUCUUAUAGUCCUCUUCUUGCGCUCACUGAUUUUUGUGUUUUCAUUGUUUCUCUUUUGAUUCUUCUUCCAAUCUCCUCUUGAAUGAGGUUCAAAGUUGAUUCCAUGAUUAGAAAUGGCAGCUUUUGCAUUUUUGAUUCCUUUAUUUUAUUAUUUUGACUAUUAAAAUACUUUUAGGAGUCACGUAAUAUGCAUAGUGGGUUGUCAAUGCGUAAUCAGUGCAGUGUAAGGAAUUUUAGGAUCAUAAAUGUUAUAAUUGGUGGUUAGUUUUUGAAUUUUAUGGUUAACUAGAAAAAAAUUGAGAAGAUGUGGAGGUUGUUUUUCUUAACGCCAUUUACUUGCUUCAGUGGCUGCCAUGUGAAUAGCACAAAUAUGUUUCUAUGGAUCAGUUACCUUAUAAUCAUGAUUGUUGUUGAAUUAGGAACUUCACAUUUCAAUAUAAGUAUUUUUUUUUAAUUCACAACUCAGAGUUUUCAUUCUUACCAAAUAAAAACUAUGGAUUCAGUGGUACAACGUCCACCUAUUUGAACUUGCGGGAUGUGCAUAUCAUAUUUCAACUAUAAUUUAGCUUAUCGGCGACAUAACCAAUGCUCACAUAAGAUAUUAAAAAGUAUAAAUAAUUUUAUGCCUUGUUCUCUCUUUUCUUUUUUUAAGUUGUCUUCAAGAAUUUUUUUAAUUAAAUUUAUAUUUUGGGUUCUGAACUGCUAUUCCUUUUGGGUAUCUGUUACUUUCAGUUAAAAGUUAUAAUGAGAAACAAGCUGCUAAUGACAAGCUACGUAAAAGAAAUAUUUGUAUAACUUGUCUGUCUGUUGAUUCUGAGAAGCAACUAAAUCUUUUUACUUAGCUCCAUACUUUUUCAUUAGUCAAACUUCUCAAGAGGAUUUUGAUCAAGUGUUGUUAGCCUAUUAACAUUUGUCUAUGACAAUACAUUUAAGUCCUACUAGUUAUAGUUGAACAAUAAGUUAUGCAAAAGAAUAACAUGUUGCAACAUUAGGUAUUACAACAAGCUGUAAUUCAAGUACAUGAUUUUUGAAAAAACUACAGAAUAGUAAUUUAUGGAGUUAAGAUUGUUAUUUAACAUAGCAAAAAGAUCUAGGAAGAGAUAAUGCUGCGAAUGAUUACGUUAGCACUUUGGUUUAUAUUGGAUUCACUAUUUACUCGUUAUUUCUUUAUAAUUAACAAUAUGUCUGCUAAUUUGUUGUUCUCGAUUAUAGGAACCACAUAUGGCAGAGAAGAAUACAAUAAGCUCAAAAGUUUCAAACAUAUAGAGAAAAGGUAGUUUCCUAUUGUGCGCAACAGUUGAAUACGACCAAAAUAUGAAGUUCAUAUGACUUAGAGUCAACUCAUUAAUUGGUCUCCCUGAUCUUUUUUUGGGCUAAAAACAUCUUGCUAUUUUAGUGAUUGAGUUUAGAAUAAUGUAUGUAUACUUCUUUCUCCUCCAUUUGAAAUCAUUAAAAGUAAAUAAAAGUUGGCAUGUGUAUUGCUAUAACUUGAAUUUACUGGGAUCACUUUGUGAGUAUAAUACUUAUCUAGCUCAUCUUAUGAAUGCCACUUCUCUCUUAAUAGUUUUUCUUAUAUCAUCUCAAUUAUUGAAGUUAUCAUCCUCUGAAGCCGUCUCUACCCUACCUUAUAAUUACCACACUUUCUUUUGAUAAUUCUCCCCCUCAAUUACUGAAGUUAUAACCUUUUCAAGUUGUAAUUUGAGUCCUCUAGACAUAUUUUGCUGCAAUUUAUAUAUUUUUUUUCCUUGACACGCGUAACAUCUGUAAUAUUUGUAAAUGCCUUCAAAAUGCCUUUCCUUCUUUUACUUUCAGAUUUGUCAUUAUUUUUCUGUAUACUCAGAGCUUAUAUUUUUUUUGUCUGUGGAUUAGUGUACCCAUUUUGUCUUAUUUUUUUCCCCAUGUUCAGUAGUUACAUGUGCAGAUACAACUUAUCUUUCUUCCUCCCUGCCUCCCUUUUCCCUCCUUAGAAAUACUAGCACACAUCCAUAGUUCUUCUGAUGGGGUUUUAUGUUUGUACUUGUGCCAGUUUUAUGUCUUACAUAAUAAGACCAUAUAUUCUUCUAAAAGCAUCCUUGACACAUAUAAUUAAUUGAUAUAAUGUAUACUAUCACUUCUACUUGAUUAUGAAAUUAUUUUUUAUUUUUGAUUAAUAAUUAAUUCAUGAUACAGGGUCUCGAGCAAUGAUGAAUACAUCAAUGCCAGCUUGGGAGUGGUGUUGAGGUUGAUCCAAGAGCACAUUCACAUGAUAUCCUAAAACUUUGAUUGACCAAAUCAAUAUUUUUUACCAGCUUUCUUAAAGAAGCUUACAAGACAAUUUAUCAGGACUUGUGAUCAUGCAAUCGAAACUGAGUGAUUCAGGCUACAAGCUACUUGAAAGGUCAAGACGUCAAGCUCCUACGAUUUGGAGGAAAUGAAUGGUAAUGAAAGUCAGUAGGUUAAGUAUUUGACAUAUGAUUCAUGGAUACUACAUCAGAUGGUGUUUACUACUCCGCAUAAUAGAAUAAUGAACCUCGAAUAUUUCAUAUUUGGGUAAUGAAUAUUGGGAUUAGUCCUUUCAUAUUGGGUAAUGAAACAUUGGUUACUUCC
Molecule: long non-coding RNA, 3472 nt
Filed under: Nicotiana benthamiana
Lineage: Eukaryota; Viridiplantae; Streptophyta; Magnoliopsida; Solanales; Solanaceae
Description: long non-coding RNA (NBEN_LNC036366)
Source: RNAcentral